This 462-nucleotide ribosomal RNA is filed under the name uncultured bacterium. Its description in RNAcentral is "partial 16S ribosomal RNA". It matches the Rfam family "Bacterial small subunit ribosomal RNA", at positions 29 to 507 of the family's 1533-position model. The record is from RNAcentral.
AUUGAACGCUGGCGGCAUGCCUUACACAUGCAAGUCGAACGGUAACAGGUCUUCGGAUGCUGACGAGUGGCGAACGGGUGAGUAAUACAUCGGAACGUGCCCGAUCGUGGGGGAUAACGGAGCGCAAGCUUUGCUAAUACCUCAUACGAACUACGGCUGACAGCAGGGGACCGCAAGGCCUGGCGCGGGGGGAGCGGCCGGUGACAGAUAAGGUGGUCGGUGGGAGAGUGGCUUACCAAGCCGACGAUCUGUAGCUGGCCUGAGGGGACGACCGGCCACAUGGGGACUGAGAUACGGCCCAGACUCCUACGGGAGGCAGCAGUGGGGAAUAUUGCACAAUGGGCGGAAGGCUGAUGCAGCAACGCAGCGUGUGGGAUGACGGCCUUCGGGUUGUAAACCGAUGUCGCCUGUGACGAAGCGUGAGGGACGGUAAUGGGUAAAGAAGCACCGGCUAACUACGUG